Saccostrea cuccullata (small rock oyster) is the source of this 414-nucleotide long non-coding RNA. RefSeq lists it as uncharacterized. The record is from RefSeq and is a predicted model, not a curated record. The transcript has 3 exons. NCBI's taxonomy places the organism in Eukaryota, Metazoa, Mollusca, Bivalvia, Ostreida, Ostreidae.
ACCUGAGAAGAGCUGAGCCGUCUGGAGUUUUUGACGAAGGAACCACCCCUUAAUCCUACUGUUAACAAAGAAAGAAGUAAUUCUAUAAAGACAGAAGAGCCCAGCAGUAAAAGACCAAGACUAAUGGAUAAUGAUAGUAGAAUAACUACAAAGCUAGGGACGCAGGUAUAGGAGUUGGUGGUAGUGUUACAACAGACUUUAUCAGAGUUACAAAACUUUAGCAACACAGAGGAUUGUAAUUUGUCAUCAAAUUCCUGGAACAACCUGGAAACAAUUCACUGUAAAAUUACUGAGAUCUUACAGGAAAAGGGGUGAUUUUUUUUGUUUUCCAAGUAAACCUCAUAUAUUUGACUUUAUACUGGAAAUUGUAUAAUUUAAUAUUAUCUGUUGAGUUUGAUUAUAGUUUUUAUCAAU